AAGACUAUACUUUCAGGGGUAAUUUCUAUUGUUCAUUACUAGAGAAGUUUCCCUGAAUGUGUAGAGCACCAUAAAAUAAGUUUUUUUUAUU
Molecule: small nucleolar RNA, 91 nt
Organism: Macaca fascicularis (crab-eating macaque)
Lineage: Eukaryota; Metazoa; Chordata; Mammalia; Primates; Cercopithecidae
Gene: U3
Rfam family: Small nucleolar RNA U3
About the family: Small nucleolar RNAs (snoRNAs) are involved in the processing and modification of rRNA in the nucleolus. There are two main classes of snoRNAs: the box C/D class, and the box H/ACA class. U3 snoRNA is a member of the box C/D class.
Source: Ensembl